CUUCGUAGUUCAUUUCUGUCCAGCGGAGCCUGAUUUCUACUCCGAGAUAUUUUAAGACAUACCUCAAGUUUCUCAGUCAAAGAAUUUUUGUUCGCCAUAAUGCAGCGUUACAAGAUUGAUAGAUCUGAAUGGAAUCAGCAGACUGUGAUACUCAUGAAGAAAACCUUAUUGGAGCGUUUGCAAAUUAUCGAACAUACCAACAAGGCUAUAAUUCAUCUAAAACGCUGUAAUGGUGCAACUAUAUAUGCCAACUUCGAUGGUUCUUAUGGAUAUUUUGGUGAGAUCUUUGCUAAAAUCCGUUUCCAGCUUAUGUAUACAGAAUAUGUUAUUAAUAUCGUCCACGAUAUGAUAACGACUCGCGAAAGAAUUGCAGAUGCUGCCGAAGCAGAACAAUAUCCGUGCACUAGAGAACAAAUAAAUAUAAUCGCGGAAUGGUAUCAGGAGGCCAAAGGGUGCACGGAACGCGUGAUGUCUAUAAUUGAACGAUAUUUUUGGGAGUACAUUGAACGGGAAUUAAAUUUAUAAAGAGAAGAAUGGAACAUUUUGUGGAACGUUUAUUUUGAAGUUUGCUUAUUUUAAA
Long non-coding RNA from Argiope bruennichi, 580 nucleotides. RefSeq lists it as uncharacterized. Lineage: Eukaryota; Metazoa; Arthropoda; Arachnida; Araneae; Araneidae. The transcript is spliced from 3 exons. The record is from RefSeq and is a predicted model, not a curated record.